GGCGAUCCACAGUGAUUCGGCCGCCGCGCCGGGGGGUGGGGGGGCUGCGCGGGACUCUUUUUUUUCAGACUGACCGCGGGGCAGCUGCGGAGCAUGUCGACCCCGGCCCGGAGGAGGCUCAUGCGGGAUUUCAAGCGGUUACAAGAGGACCCACCUGUGGGUGUCAGUGGCGCACCAUCUGAAAACAACAUCAUGCAGUGGAAUGCAGUUAUAUUUGGGUGAGUUGAAAGGUUUAACAAAUAAUAGAAACAGGGUCUCCCUAUGUUGCCCAGGCUGGGCUUGAACUGCUGGGCUCAAGGGAUCCUCCUGCCUUGGCCUCCCAAAGUGUUAGGAUUACAGGCACAAGCCACUGUACCCAGCUGAAAUUAUAGGUCUUAAGGCAAUUGAGAACUUUAUUUCAGAAGCUUAAGUUCCUUAGCAGCAGGAAACCCCAUAGUAUUUAUCAAAUCAUUUCUAAAAGUAUUUAGACCCAAAAUUAUAUGACAUGUUAAUCUCUGAAGUAAUUUGUUGUUUUGUAUAACUUUUCUGUAAUAUAUUCCAUAUCUGACCCCUGUUAGUAUAAAGAACAACUAUGCAAAUCUGUUUUUUCUUUUCUUUCCUCCUAGUCUCUGCUGGAUGAACCGAAUCCUAACAGUCCAGCCAAUAGCCAGGCAGCACAGCUUUAUCAGGAAAACAAACGAGAAUAUGAGAAAAGAGUUUCGGCCAUUGUUGAACAAAGCUGGAAUGAUUCAUAAUAGACAACUGGUCUGUUAAUCUUUUUCAUCAUUGUUGUGUAUAAUUUACCUCUCAGUAGAAAGGCUAACAAAUUUUAAGUGCC
RNAcentral lists this small RNA (817 nucleotides) under Pan troglodytes (chimpanzee). RNAcentral's name for it is "processed transcript". The record is from RNAcentral. Lineage: Eukaryota; Metazoa; Chordata; Mammalia; Primates; Hominidae.